Humulus lupulus (European hop) is the source of this 626-nucleotide long non-coding RNA. RefSeq lists it as uncharacterized. The record is from RefSeq and is a predicted model, not a curated record. NCBI's taxonomy places the organism in Eukaryota, Viridiplantae, Streptophyta, Magnoliopsida, Rosales, Cannabaceae. The transcript has 2 exons.
AACAUAAGGAUAAUAGGCCUAGCAGAUGAUUAAGUCGAAAUUAUUGAAGUGAUAAGGUUUUCAUAAGUCAAAAGGUGAAAUGAUGAGAUGAAAGGUGUCAAAUUUUGAUACAAUAAGGCUAAAUCAUUGAAAAUAAGGAAUUUUCAUCAACCUUAUCACUUUGGACGACCAUUACUCUGAAAAACAGAGAGAAAAGAAAACCAAAAAAACCAUUUCUUGGCUGGUUUGAAGAAAUUCUAAGGAGAUCCAAGUGAAAGCAAAGCCAAAGAAGUAGAUUAAGCUUAGUUCUAGCCUUUUUAUGGUAAGUUCUUGUACUUGGAAGUUAAACCAUGUUUUUGAAUUUUUCUGAAAGCUUAUAUAUGGUGUUUUAUCCUUUUUAAGAUAUUUCUUGGGGUUUCCAAGUGGUUUGAGGUUUAGAAAAGCUUGAAGAGAUUGUUUUCGCCGAAAAGUUGCUCGGUAGAGAAAGAAAUGUGUGAAUGACAUGAGGAGAACUGAAGCAUGGUCCUGACCCUGAUUUGUACAUAUGAACAUAUCGACCUUUUGUGGGUUAUUUCAGUUAUCAGUGAGAUGUUUGUAAUAAAGUGUGAAGUUAUGUUUUGAAAAUAAAUUGAGUUAUUUAAUACUUA